GGUGGGAUGGCUGAGUGGUCGAAAGCGCACGACUCGAAAUCGUGUAACCCCUUACGGGGUUCGAGGGUUCGAAUCCCUCUCCCACCGCCA
Molecule: transfer RNA, 90 nt
Filed under: Candidatus Peregrinibacteria bacterium
Lineage: Bacteria; Candidatus Peregrinibacteriota
Description: tRNA-Ser
Rfam family: tRNA
About the family: Transfer RNA (tRNA) molecules are approximately 80 nucleotides in length. Their secondary structure includes four short double-helical elements and three loops (D, anti-codon, and T loops).
Source: RNAcentral